CGCGUAGGCGGGCUGUUUAGUCGGGGGUGAAAUCGUUCGGCCCAACCGGACAAGGGCCUCCGAUACUGGCAGUCUCGAGGGAGGUAGGGGUUGGUGGAACUUCCGGUGGAGCGGUGAAAUGCGUAGAUAUCGGAAGGAACGCCGGUGGCGAAAGCGGCCAACUGGACCUCUUCUGACGCUGAUGCGCGAAAGCUAGGGGAGCGAACG
This 207-nucleotide ribosomal RNA is filed under the name uncultured bacterium. RNAcentral's name for it is "partial 16S ribosomal RNA". It matches the Rfam family "Bacterial small subunit ribosomal RNA", at positions 568 to 774 of the family's 1533-position model. The record is from RNAcentral.